AAAAUCAUAAUUUGUGAUCGACUGAAGAAAAAAUGUCACCUACAUCUUGGAUGCACUGGGGGGAGGUUGCAGAUUUACUCUAAAAAUAGCUGUGGAAUGACUGGACUUCAUCUGGCUUGAUGUUGAGCAGCAGUUCACAUUUAGGACAUUCCUGAGAAAGAGGGAGAGGGGGAAAGAGAGGGAAAUAAUAAGAAGGGUUGGGAGAGGAGAGGACAGGAAAGGAGAGAUGACAGUCAUUCUAUGGAUAGACAUGAUGGUGGAGAUGUUCAUUCAUGUUUAUUUCGCGCUGUAACUGGUAUUAAAGCGGAGGAGAGGAUCAGUUCACGCUGCCGCUUCUCUUGAACUGCAGCAAUUUGUCACGCCACAUUAAAGAGCACCAAAACGAAUGAGACCUGUUACGAUCCGCUGGGCCCCCAGAUCUAUCUCCAGCGAUUGGUUCUUCACGAGACCCUGCGGGUGAGCGACCACCCAGCCCGUUCGGCCGGUCAGCAGCCGGGCCUGUUCAGGGAGCCAGCCCCUCUCUGCCGACGGCCAUACUGAGAUCUGAGAAUCCGAAAUCUGACCCGAAACCAUCCCUAACAUACUGGAGCAUGGAGCGUCUGAGAGAAGGAGAGAGAGAAUGUGAGCUACCUUCAUGAAAGAAGCAACAAUAUUCUGAACCACAGGAAACAGACAUACAGGCUACUUCUUGUCUGACUCUACCAGUCAGAAAUGAAUCCUCUGAUGGCGUCCAGCCGUUGUCGGGGUAAUGCAGUCUGGAGCGCAGUGGAGACCAGCUGGGAUUAUACUGUGAUGACGCAGUUAUCAUGUCUUCUGUGAUUUCACCGCUUUCCAUCCCUAAAGGAGACAUG
Megalobrama amblycephala (Wuchang bream) is the source of this 851-nucleotide long non-coding RNA. RefSeq lists it as uncharacterized. Lineage: Eukaryota; Metazoa; Chordata; Actinopteri; Cypriniformes; Xenocyprididae. The record is from RefSeq and is a predicted model, not a curated record. The transcript has 4 exons.